Triticum dicoccoides is the source of this 2737-nucleotide long non-coding RNA. RefSeq lists it as uncharacterized. The transcript has 5 exons. The record is from RefSeq and is a predicted model, not a curated record. Lineage: Eukaryota; Viridiplantae; Streptophyta; Magnoliopsida; Poales; Poaceae.
CACCGCCGCCGCCUCGUCCCUCCCGCCCCAAACCAAAUCGUUGUCCUCUCCGCCCAACUCUCUCCACCUCCGGAGCCUUCGCCACGACAUGCUCCACUUCUCAUACCGUCUUUCCCGAUCUGCUUACGGAUCCUGGUUUAUGGCAAGGAACAUCGGAUUAAAAGGCGCGAAGGAAUGGGGGAAGCCGAAUUGGUGCCGGCGCCUCCCUUAUGCCAAUGAUCUUCUCCGCACCUCAAGUACUUCCCUAGGUGAACAUUUUGCAACCACCAAAGGGACAGAUAGCGCAGAAGUCCAUGUUAGCUAUCCUGCUAACCGUGAUGAUGGUGGUUAUGUAAGCUCGGCCUACGUCAUUAAGAACACCAGCCAUCGCCACGGUUCUAUAUACGCAAGAGACUCUGGUCUUCGGGGACAAUGCCGUAUUACUGAGCGUGGUGAGAAUGUUUUUUUGGUGAAGCACAACUGGAGCCAAUGAUGAUAACAGAACCCACAGAUUGCUGGCCUGAUAGGGCAAGUGCGGGAUUGUCAAGAUCAAUUGCUUAAUUAUGUUAUUAAUCAUAGCAGGGAUGAUCCCAUCAUUAUGCGACAGGUGCAUAUCUUUACUUGCACAAAUUGUUUGAAAUAAUUCAUUUAUUUUAAUUUGUAAGUUCAAUCCCAUCACAUGCAUUGCACAAAAUGGAUCGAAAUAUAAACAUUGUUUGGGUAUAUACUUCAAGUACUUCAUCUCUUUUUAAUCAUAAAAGUUGGGAUCGAAGGUGGAAUAUUGUACAUGCUUAAUAUCUUUUAUCUCAUGUGGAUUGGUAUAUGUAAUGAAAAUACUAUUAAUUAUGUUCUUAGUUUUGUUGUGAUGUUCUUAGUUCUUAAUAAAUAACACAUGCUUAGUUUAUUUUUAUUGUCGUUCUUUAAAUAAGUAUUUCAUAAUGCAUUGAUUUUUACCUAUUUAAUAAUAUUUUUGUGUUAUGGUUGCAUAUCUUCUUCCAUGUGCUUAACUCUAUUAAAAAGUGUCAUACCGAAAUUGUGAAAAUAACUAUUAUUUGUCCACUAUGUUACCAAUUUGAGAAUCAUGUUGUGGAAUUACAAUUAGUUAGACGAAACUUACUACUGGAACUAUAGUGUGUAAUUUAGUGAUCUAUUAACCAGUAAUAGACUAAUAUGUAUUUAAUUAAUAUCAAGUCGGAUAAUUUUGGACCCUUAAUUCUUGUAAGACAAUUACUCCUAUAAACAUUUGAGGUGUUGGUGAUGCUGGCUCUGUUUUAUGGAUUUUAUUUUCGUGGAUUCUUGUAUGCAAAUAUGUGUGUGGUUGGAGGAUGUUAUACCAAGAUGAGUUUGUCCUUUUGCAUAUAUGUAGCAUGUUUAUGGUUAAUUAUGUUUGGUUUAGCAAUGUUAAGUGUCAUGUGCAACCGACUUAUGUUUAUGGUGAAAAAACUCACAUUAUUUUAGUUUUUUGUGAAUAGAAAUAAUUUGUGGGAUCAAAGUUUCUCGGGUGCGCAAGGUGCAAAUUUUCAUAUUGUUUGGACAUUCCAGGUGCUCAUGACAAACAAAAAAUUAUAAAUAUGUACGUCGGUGAACAGUAAAUUAAAAAAAUAGCAAAAAAAUAUGAAACACAAAAAAUUUAAGGUUUUUCCUUUGUCACGAGCUCCUGGAAUGUCUAAAUAGCACAAAAAAUUUCACGCACCUUGCGCAUCCGAGGAACUUUGAUCCAACAAAUUUUCAGAUUUUUUAGACUUUUUUGCUUUUUUAAAAAAAUUACUGUUUAUACGGACGAAAACCGCCCGAAGCGGCGUGAGGGACGAAAAUUAUCCGGUUUUGAUAGUUGAGGGACGGAAACUUGAGUUGAGGGACGAUUUCUAAACUCUCGAAAAAGUUCGACGACGAAAAAUAUACUUAUCCCGCAAAAUAUGGAUGCAGCAAUACUUUCACCAGCCUUGUUCCAGACUAUCUUCUGAACAUGAUUGGUACAAAUAGAACACCAGCCAGGCAAAUAAUAUGGCUGUUACUCUGUUCUAUGUACGAACUACUACUCUAAUCGACAUUGGUAUCCUCUGAACAGCGUAUAAUUCUUUUUGUAUGUAAUAUUGAAACACCUGCACGGCUAGAAUAUGUAAACGACAGCUAUUUAAUGUGUCAGGAAUUAUUAUAUGCAAAAGCAAAUCUUAAGUUCGUAGCAGAAAUGGUGAGCUGCAAAUCACAUCUCUAGUUCUCAAUUAUUUAUAAUUCUGGGAUGCUGCUCUGGAUUGACACCAAAGGGGAUAAACUAGCUCUGAAAUUUUCAUUAUCACUUUCUUAAUCAAAUUCCAUAGUUUUUAAUCGUGGCCUUAUUCCUUCCAUCAAUGGAAGCUGGGUUUGUCAAACAUCAUUGAGUUAUUCCACACUGGACUGAGCAGCAUGCGCAAAAUUUGGUACUUGGUUGAUUGGUUCAGUGCAAAUUAUCUAUCUCCAUCAUUCCCGCUCUCAGAAGUAAAGGCAAAAAAAGGAGAGAGAUUCCUAAAGAAAUAUGCAAGAGUGGAGUAGCAGAACAAACCAAAAGAGACAGUAGUGCACUCCUUAUAUGAAGGUGGAAUGGUUCAUACUGAAAUAUGAGUAAGACCCGUCGGAAAAUUAUAAGCAACAUAUAACACCAUCGACCAUUUCUUUUGAAGGCGCCGGCAAGGUAAAUAUGCAACCCUUGCCUAUACACAGUACAUGCUAAACAAAAAAAGGUGUAUGUAAAGUAAAAUUGUGUCAAAUUAAGUUUAUGGUA